ACGAACGCUGGCGGCGUGCCUAAUACAUGCAAGUAGAACGCUGAAGGAGGAGCUUGCUUCUCUGGAUGAGUUGCGAACGGGUGAGUAACGCGUAGGUAACCUGCCUGGUAGCGGGGGAUAACUAUUGGAAACGAUAGCUAAUACCGCAUAAUAGUAGAUGUUGCAUGACAUUUGCUUAAAAGGUGCAAUUGCAUCACUACCAGAUGGACCUGCGUUGUAUUAGCUAGUUGGUGGGGUAACGGCUCACCAAGGCGACGAUACAUAGCCGACCUGAGAGGGUGAUCGGCCACACUGGGACUGAGACACGGCCCAGACUCCUACGGGAGGCAGCAGUAGGGAAUCUUCGGCAAGGGACGGAAGUCUGACCGAGCAACGCCGCGUGAGUGAAGAAGGUUGUCGGAUCGUAAAGCUCUGUUGUAAGAGAAGAACGAGUGUGAGAGUGGAAAGUUCACACUGUGACGGUAUCUUACCAGAAAGGGACGGCUAACUACGUG
RNAcentral lists this ribosomal RNA (494 nucleotides) under uncultured bacterium. RNAcentral describes it as "partial 16S ribosomal RNA". It matches the Rfam family "Bacterial small subunit ribosomal RNA", at positions 29 to 507 of the family's 1533-position model. The record is from RNAcentral.